Molecule: ribosomal RNA, 253 nt
Filed under: uncultured bacterium
Lineage: Bacteria
Description: partial 16S ribosomal RNA
Rfam family: Bacterial small subunit ribosomal RNA
Source: RNAcentral
UACGUAGGGUGCGAGCGUUAAUCGGAAUUACUGGGCGUAAAGUGUGCGCAGGCGGCAAAGCAAGUCGAGUGUGAAAGCCCCGGGCUUAACUUGGGAAUUGCGCUCGAAACUACUUUGCUGGAGUGUGGCAGAGGAAGGUGGAAUUCCACGUGUAGCGGUGAAAUGCGUAGGGAUGUGGAGGAACACCAAUGGCGAAGGCAGCCUUCUGGGCCAACACUGACGCCCAUGCACGAAAGCGUGGGGAGCAAACAGG